Molecule: ribosomal RNA, 2829 nt
Filed under: Premolis semirufa
Lineage: Eukaryota; Metazoa; Arthropoda; Insecta; Lepidoptera; Erebidae
Description: bacterial LSU rRNA
Rfam family: Bacterial large subunit ribosomal RNA
Source: RNAcentral
AGCGAACAAGUGCAUGUGGUGGAUGCCUUGGCGAUUACAGGCGAUGAAGGACGCGGUAGCCUGCGAAAAGCUUCGGGGAGCUGGCAAACGAGCUUUGAUCCGGAGAUGUCCGAAUGGGGAAACCCGGCCCGAAUGGGUCAUCCCUGACUGAAUACAUAGGUCAGGGAAGCGAACGCGGCGAACUGAAACAUCUAAGUAGCUGCAGGAACAGAAAUCAACCGAGAUUCCCAAAGUAGUGGCGAACGAAAUGGGAAGAGCCUUGUACUCUUUAGCAGCAUUGUUAGCAGAACGGGAUGGAAAGCCCGGCCAUAGCAGGUGAUAGCCCUGUAUGCGAAAACAGCGUUGUGGAACUAGGUGUACGACAAGUAGGGCGGGACACGUGAAAUCCUGUCUGAAGAUGGGGGGACCAUCCUCCAAGGCUAAAUACUCGUAAUCGACCGAUAGUGAACCAGUACCGUGAGGGAAAGGCGAAAAGAACCCCGGGAGGGGAGUGAAAUAGAUCCUGAAACCGCAUGCAUACAAACAGUCGGAGCCUGGAAACGGGUGACGGCGUACCUUUUGUAUAAUGGGUCAGCGACUUACAUUCAGUGGCAAGCUUAACCGAUUAGGGAAGGCGUAGCGAAAGCGAGUCCGAAUAGGGCGUUGAGUCGCUGGGUGUAGACCCGAAACCAGAUGAUCUAUCCAUGGCCAGGUUGAAGGUGCGGUAACACGUACUGGAGGACCGAACCCACUAACGUUGAAAAGUUAGGGGAUGAGCUGUGGAUAGGGGUGAAAGGCUAAACAAACUUGGAAAUAGCUGGUUCUCUCCGAAAACUAUUUAGGUAGUGCCUCGUGUCUCACCUUCGGGGGUAGAGCACUGUCAUGGUUGGGGGGUCUAUUGCUGAUUACCCCGCCAUAGCAAACUCCGAAUACCGAAGAGUGCAAUCACGGGAGACAGACAUCGGGUGCUAACGUCCGGUGUCAAGAGGGAAACAACCCAGACCGCCAGCUAAGGUCCCAAAGUCAUGGUUAAGUGGGAAACGAUGUGGGAAGGCCCAGACAGCCAGGAUGUUGGCUUAGAAGCAGCCAUCAUUUAAAGAAAGCGUAAUAGCUCACUGAUCGAGUCGUCCUGCGCGGAAGAUGUAACGGGGCUAAGCCAGUCACCGAAGCUGCGGACGCACGCAAGUGCGUGGUAGGAGAGCGUUCUGUAAGCCUGUGAAGGUGUCUUGUAAAGGAUGCUGGAGGUAUCAGAAGUGCGAAUGCUGACAUGAGUAGCGAUAAAGGGGGUGAAAGGCCCCCUCGCCGUAAGCCCAAGGUUUCCUACGCAACGUUCAUCGGCGUAGGGUGAGUCGGCCCCUAAGGCGAGGCAGAGAUGCGUAGCUGAUGGGAAGCAGGUUAAUAUUCCUGCACCGUCGUAUGAUGCGAUGGGGGGACGGAUCGCGGAAGGUUGUCCGGGUGUUGGAAGUCCCGGUCCCUGCAUUGGAGAAGGCGCUUAGGCAAAUCCGGGCGCGGAAUUCAAGGAUGUGGGGCGAGCGGCCUAGUGCUGCGAAGCAAUUGGAAGUGGUUCCAAGAAAAGCCUCUAAGCUUCAGUCAUACGAGACCGUACCGCAAACCGACACAGGUGGGCGAGAUGAGUAUUCUAAGGCGCUUGAGAGAACUCGGGAGAAGGAACUCGGCAAAUUGGUACCGUAACUUCGGGAUAAGGUACGCCCUUGUAGCUUGACUGGCCUGCGCCAGGAGGGUGAAGGGGUUGCAAUAAAAUGGUGGCUGCGACUGUUUAAUAAAAACACAGCACUCUGCAAACACGAAAGUGGACGUAUAGGGUGUGACGCCUGCCCGGUGCCGGAAGAUUAAAUGAUGGGGUGCAAGCUCUUGAUUGAAGUCCCGGUAAACGGCGGCCGUAACAAUAACGGUCCUAAGGUAGCGAAAUUCCUUGUCGGGUAAGUUCCGACCUGCACGAAUGGCGUAACGAUGGCCACACUGUCUCCUCCCGAGACUCAGCGAAGUUGAAGUGUUUGUGAUGAUGCAAUCUCCCCGCGGCUAGACGGAAAGACCCCAUGAACCUUUACUGUAGCUUUGCAUUGGACUUUGAACCGAUCUGUGUAGGAUAGGUGGGAGGCUUUGAAGCGUGGACGCUAGUUCACGUGGAGCCGUCCUUGAAAUACCAUCCUGGUUUGUUUGAGGUUCUAACCUUGGCCCGUGAAUCCGGGUCGGGGACAGUGCAUGGUAGGCAGUUUGACUGGGGCGGUCUCCUCCCAAAGUGUAACGGAGGAGUUCGAAGGUACGCUUGGUACGGUCGGACAUCGUACCUAAAGUGCAAUGGCAAAAGCGUGCUUAACUGCGAGACCGACAAGUCGAGCAGGUGCGAAAGCAGGACAUAGUGAUCCGGUGGUUCUGAAUGGAAGGGCCAUCGCUCAACGGAUAAAAGGUACUCUGGGGAUAACAGGCUGAUACCGCCCAAGAGUUCAUAUCGACGGCGGUGUUUGGCACCUCGAUGUCGGCUCAUCGCAACCUGGAGCUGGAGUCGGUUCCAAGGGUUGGGCUGUUCGCCCAUGAAAGCGGUACGUGAGCUGGGUUCAGAACGUCGUGAGACAGUUCGGUCCAUAUCCGGUAUAGGCGCAAGAGCAUUGAGAGGAUCUCGACGUUGUACGAGAGGACCCGAAGGGACGUACCGAUGGUGUACCAGUUCUCGUGCCAACGGGAAACGCUGGGUAGCUAAGUACGGAAAGGAUAAUCGCUGAAAGCAUCUAAAUGAGAAGCCUACCUCAAGAUGAAUGCUCUCUAUCAGAUCACGGCAAGACAAGCCGUUUGAUAGGCGUCAAGUGUAAAACCUGUAAGGGUACUAGCUGA